This 801-nucleotide ribosomal RNA is filed under the name uncultured bacterium. RNAcentral's name for it is "bacterial SSU rRNA". It matches the Rfam family "Bacterial small subunit ribosomal RNA", at positions 79 to 877 of the family's 1533-position model. The record is from RNAcentral.
GCUACCCGCUGACGAGCGGCGGACGGGUGAGUAACGCGUGGGAAUCUGCCUGGUAGUGGGGGAUAGCCCGGCGAAAGCCGGAUUAAUACCGCAUACGCCCUUCGGGGGAAAGUGGGGGACCUUCGGGCCUCACGCUAUCAGAUGAGCCCGCGUCGGAUUAGCUAGUUGGUGAGGUAAAGGCUCACCAAGGCGAUGAUCCGUAGCUGGUCUGAGAGGAUGAUCAGCCACACUGGGACUGAGACACGGCCCAGACUCCUACGGGAGGCAGCAGUGGGGAAUAUUGGACAAUGGGGGCAACCCUGAUCCAGCCAUGCCGCGUGUGUGAAGAAGGCCUUCGGGUUGUAAAGCACUUUCAGUGGUGAGGAAAGGCAAGCGGUUAAUACCCGUUUGCUGUGACGUUAGCCACAGAAGAAGCACCGGCUAACUCCGUGCCAGCAGCCGCGGUAAUACGGAGGGUGCGAGCGUUAAUCGGAAUUACUGGGCGUAAAGAGCGCGUAGGUGGUUCAGUCAGUCAGAUGUGAAAGCCCCGGGCUUAACCUGGGAACUGCACCUGAUACUGCUGAACUAGAGUACGGUAGAGGGCAGUGGAAUUUCCGGUGUAGCGGUGAAAUGCGUAGAGAUCGGAAGGAACACCAGUGGCGAAGGCGACUGCCUGGACCGAUACUGACACUGAGGUGCGAAAGCGUGGGUAGCAAACAGGAUUAGAUACCCUGGUAGUCCACGCCGUAAACGAUGUCAACUAGCCGUUGGGGGACUUGAUCCUUUAGUGGCGCAGCUAACGCGAUAAGUUGACCGCCUGGG